AACGCAAUAAGUAUCCCGCCUGGGGAGUACGGUCGCAAGACUGAAACUCAAAGGAAUUGACGGGGACCCGCACAAGCAGCGGAGCAUGUGGUUUAAUUCGAAGCAACGCGAAGAGCCUUACCAAGGCUUGACAUCCCUUGACCGCCAUGGAAACAUGGCUUCCCUUCGGGGCAAGGAGGCAGGUGGUGCAUGGUUGUCGUCAGCUCGUGUCGUGAGAUGUUGGGUUAAGUCCCGCAACGAGCGCAACCCUUAUCAUUAGUUGCCAGCACUUCGGGUGGGAACUCUAAUGAGACUGCCGGGGAUAACUCGGAGGAAGGUGGGGACGACGUCAAAUCAUCAUGCCCCUUAUGUCUUGGGCUACACACGUGCUACAAUGGCCGGUACAGAGGGCUGCGAAACCGUGAGGUGGAGCGAAUCCCAAAAAGCCGGUCUCA
This 434-nucleotide ribosomal RNA is filed under the name uncultured bacterium. RNAcentral's name for it is "bacterial SSU rRNA". It matches the Rfam family "Bacterial small subunit ribosomal RNA", at positions 854 to 1290 of the family's 1533-position model. The record is from RNAcentral.